RNAcentral lists this ribosomal RNA (487 nucleotides) under uncultured bacterium. RNAcentral's name for it is "bacterial SSU rRNA". It matches the Rfam family "Bacterial small subunit ribosomal RNA", at positions 28 to 507 of the family's 1533-position model. The record is from RNAcentral.
GAUGAACGCUAGCGGGAGGCUUAACACAUGCAAGUCGAGGGGCAGCAUAGGGUAGCAAUACUCUGAUGGCGACCGGCAAACGGGUGAGUAACGCGUAUGUAACCUACCCUGUACAGGGGGAUAACCCGGAGAAAUUCGGACUAAUAUCCCAUAACAAUAUCCGGGGGCAUCUUUGGAUAUUUAAAGUUCCGGCGGUACGGGAUGGGCAUGCGUAACAUUAGCUAGUUGGUAAGGUAACGGCUUACCAAGGCUUUGAUGUUUAGGGGUCCUGAGAGGGUGGUCCCCCACACUGGUACUGAGACACGGACCAGACUCCUACGGGAGGCAGCAGUGAGGAACAUUGGUCAAUGGGCGCAAGCCUGAACCAGCCAUCCCGCGUGCAGGAAGACGGCGCUAUGCGUUGUAAACUGCUUUUCCAGGGAGAGAAACUUGCGCACGUGUUGCGCAAUUGACGGUACCCUGGGAAUAAGCAUCGGCUAACUCCGUG